GAUGAACGCUGGCGGCGUGCCUAAUACAUGCAAGUUGAGCGAACGGACGAGAAGCUUGCUUCACUGAUGUUAGCGGCGGACGGGUGAGUAACACGUGGAUAACCUACCUAUAAGACUGGGAUAACUUCGGGAAACCGGAGCUAAUACCGGAUAAUAUUUUUAACCGCAUGGUUCAAAAGUGAAAGAUGGUCUUGCUGUCACUUAUAGAUGGAUCCGCGUUGCAUUAGUUAGUUGGUAAGGUAACGGCUUACCAAGGCAACGAAGCAUAGCCAACCGGAGAGGGGAAUCGGCACCACGGGAACGGAGACACGGUCAAAACUCCUACGGGAGGCAGCAGUAGGGAAUCUUCCGAAAUGGGCGAAAGCCUGACGGAGCAACGCCGCGUGAGUAAUGAAGGUCUUCGGAUCGUAAAACUCUGUUAUUAGGGAAGAACAUAUGUGUAAGUAACUGUGCACAUCUUGACGGUACCUAAUCAGAAAGCCACGGCUAACUACGUG
RNAcentral lists this ribosomal RNA (497 nucleotides) under uncultured bacterium. Its description in RNAcentral is "partial 16S ribosomal RNA". It matches the Rfam family "Bacterial small subunit ribosomal RNA", at positions 28 to 507 of the family's 1533-position model. The record is from RNAcentral.